RNAcentral lists this ribosomal RNA (462 nucleotides) under uncultured bacterium. RNAcentral describes it as "partial 16S ribosomal RNA". It matches the Rfam family "Bacterial small subunit ribosomal RNA", at positions 29 to 507 of the family's 1533-position model. The record is from RNAcentral.
AUGAACGCUGACAGAAUGCUUAACCCAUGCAAGUCUUUGGCGAAGCUGUGCUUGCACAGCCUAGCCAAGGCGGACGGGUGAGUAACGCGUAAGGAACUUGCCCUGCAGUCAGGGAUAACAGACGGAAACGACUGAUAAGACCUGGUAAAGUCAGGCGGACUCAUGUCCAGCCUGAUGAAAAGAGAUGCUGCAGGAGAGCCUUGCGUCCUAUUAGCUUGUUGGUGGGGUAACGGCCCACCAAGGCGAUGAUAGGUAGCCGGCCUGAGAGGGUGGACGGCCACAAGGGGACUGAGAUACGGCCCUUACUCCUACGGGAGGCAGCAGUGGGGAAUAUUGGACAAUGGGGGCAACCCUGAUCCAGCAAUUCUGUGUGCACGAUGAAGGUUUUCGGAUUGUAAAGUGCUUUCAGCAGGGAAGAAAAAAAUGACGGUACCUUCAGAAGAAGCGACGGCUAAAUACGUG